This 2039-nucleotide long non-coding RNA is filed under the name Homo sapiens (human). RNAcentral's name for it is "HSALNT0370996". Lineage: Eukaryota; Metazoa; Chordata; Mammalia; Primates; Hominidae. The record is from RNAcentral.
CAAAGUGCUGGGAUUACAGGCAUGAGCCACCGUGUCCACCCCAUACAUUUUAUUUAUUUAGACAUACUGUCUCAUUUUUACUUACAUAACUUUACCUGUGCUCUUUAUUUCUUCAUGUGGAUUUGAAUUACUCUCUUGUCUUCAUUUCAGCUGGAAGGACUCUGUUUAGUGUUCUGAUGGGGCUAGUCUGACAGCAAUGAAUUCUCUCAAAUGUUGUCUAUCUGGGAAUGCUUUAAUGUCUCCAUUUUUUGAAGGACACCACUGCUAGAUAUAAAAUUCUUGGCUGACAUUUAUUUUUCCUUUCAGAACUUUGAAUAUGUCAUCCCACUGCCUUUUGGCCUCCAUGGAUUCUUCCUUUCAGCUUUAUUGUGGUAUAACUAACAAACAGCAUUGUUUAUAUUUUAAAUAUACAGUUUGUUGAUUUGAUACACAUAUGCAUUGUGAAAUGAUUACCACAAUCAAGUCCAUUAAGACAUUCAUCACAUUAUGGUUACUUUUUUGAAAUGAGAAUUCUUAAGAUCUGCUCUCUUAGCAAAUUUCAAGUAUACAAUACAGUAUAAUUAACUACAGUCACCAUGCUAUACAUUAGAUGCUUAGAACUUAAACUGAAAGUUUGUAGUUGUUAAUCUUACCAAUGAUCCUUUAUACAUGAUGAUUUAUUUCUUGCUUAUCGCUCUCAUGAUUUUUCUUUGCCUUUGGCUUUUGAUUAAUUUAUUAAGAUGUGCGUUUAUGCUACUUGGAGUUUAUUGAACUUCUUGCAUAUUUUGAUUAGUGUUUUUCAUAAAAUUGGAGAAGUUUUUGGCUAUUAUAACUUCACAUAUUCUUGUAUCUCCUUUCUCUCACUCAUCUCCUUCUGGGACUCUCUUUAUGCAUACAUUGGUAUUGCUUGAUAGGGUUCCAUAGUUCUCUGAGGCUCUUUCCUUUUGUUUUUUUUUAACUUACUAUUCAUCAGGCUAGAUAAUCUCAGUUGACCAAUCUACAAAUUCACUGAAUUUUUUGUCUGCUGAAAUCUGCUGUUCAGCCCUGUUGUGGGUUGAAUCAUGUUCUCCAAAAUGAUAUGUUCAAGGCUCUCUUACUUAGUCCCUAUAAAUGUGGCUUUAUUUGGAAAUACGGUAUUUGCAGAUGUAAUCAAUUAAGAUGAGGUCAUCUUGUAUUAGGGUGGGCCCUAAUCCAGUUACUGUUUCUCUUAUAAGAGCAGGGAAAUUUGAACACAGGCACAGAGGAAAGAAGGUCAUGUGAUGACACAGGCAGAGAUUGGAGUGGUGCAGCUGCAAGCCAAGGAAAGCCAAGGAUUUCCAGCAACCACCUGAAGCUAGAAAGAAGCAAAGAAAGAUAAUUCCCUAGAGCCUUCAAAUAGAGCACAGCCCAACUGACACUUUAACUUUGGACUUCUAUCCUCCAGCAAUAAAUAUUAGAUCACUUAGGAAUGAUAGAAAUAUCUGGUGAUGGAAUUUCAAGAAUGGAACCUCUGGCCGGGCGUGGUGGAGACAGAGUCUCACUCUGCACCGUGCCGGCCAGAUUUUGGUAUUUCUUAUGGGAAACCUGAGUUCCUGCAUUAGAGGUAUGUUCACACUGGCCUGUUGAAUGCUGUCCUCUUAAAUGUAUUUAAAAAUUAUCCUCUGUAUUUUUCGUAUGCGGUUAUAAAUGUGUUUUGGGGAUCUAUUUUAUUCCUUAAUUUAUAUAUUUGAUUCUAGCGUCAAGCAGGUUCCCUUUGAAUUUUUCCUUUAAAGAACAUGUGCUAUUUCCUAUUACAUCCUGUACCCCUCAAACUGCCCAAUUAGGUAUACUCCUGGGGAAAAUAUGGCAAAGUUUGUUGUAAUGCAGUUUUUUUACCUAAUUAAGUAGCUACUAAAAUAAUUAAUUUCAAAAAUUUGGAGCAAACCUAGAAAGAUGCAGAUGUCUUUGUGGCUUUUCACGCAAUCAAGUUUACCUAUCUUUGCUUUUAAUAUGUAUUUCCUCUUGAUGAAAUGUUUAUUUAGUUUAGUAAACUUGGGAUAUGUCAUUUAUAUCCAUAAAUCAACUUUUUAAAAAAGAGAUAA